RNAcentral lists this transfer RNA (70 nucleotides) under Puliciphora borinquenensis. Its description in RNAcentral is "tRNA-Val". It matches the Rfam family "tRNA". From Rfam's summary of the family: Transfer RNA (tRNA) molecules are approximately 80 nucleotides in length. Lineage: Eukaryota; Metazoa; Arthropoda; Insecta; Diptera; Phoridae. The record is from RNAcentral.
CAAUUUAAAGCUUAGAAGAAAGCAUUUCAUUUACAUUGAAGAGAUUAUUGUGCAAUUCCUUAUAAAUUGA